CGCCAACUUUCGACUCGUCUUAUCGAUGUCGUUGUCGUCGUUGGUUGUUUCUUCAAUCCUAAUCGUUUGCUGAUUGGUCCAAAUUUUGGCGGAUGCCUACAAAAUGGAAUCCAGUUGUAUUUGAAGUAUAUUGAGUAACUACAAAGUUUGUUCGUUUUAGUCGAGUUUAUGAGAAUAAUUGCGGUAUGAUGAUGGUAUUUUAUCUAAUGAGGAAGUUUUCUUUUUCAUCGACAAGAAGGAAUGAACUAAGAGGAGGAA
RNAcentral lists this long non-coding RNA (258 nucleotides) under Polistes fuscatus (common paper wasp). Its description in RNAcentral is "uncharacterized LOC122519932". Lineage: Eukaryota; Metazoa; Arthropoda; Insecta; Hymenoptera; Vespidae. The record is from RNAcentral.